Molecule: unclassified non-coding RNA, 415 nt
Filed under: soil metagenome
Description: partial contains 5.8S ribosomal RNA, internal transcribed spacer 2, and large subunit ribosomal RNA
Rfam family: 5.8S ribosomal RNA (bases 1-120)
Source: RNAcentral
GAUGAAGAACGCAGCGAAAUGCGAUAAGUAAUGUGAAUUGCAGAAUUCAGUGAAUCAUCGAAUCUUUGAACGCACCUUGCACUCCUUGGCAUUCCGAGGAGUACGCCUGUUCGAGUGUUAUGAAGCUCUCAAAACGCAAUUGGCUUAAAACCUGAUUGUUGUUUUGGAUUUGAACUUUGCCGUGUUAUAACGGCUGGUUUUAAAAGUAUUAGCUGGUACUAGAACGAAUUGGUUCUACUCAACGUGAUAAUUAUCUGAUCGUUGAGGACAUUCCUUUCACGAGGAAUGGCCAUAGUAAAUUCAAUGGACUGCUUCUAAUCUGGCUUUAAUUCUUUAUUGGAUUAACCACUUUUCAAAUCUGACCUCGAAUCAGGUGGGACUACCCGCUGAACUUAAGCAUAUCAAUAACGGAGGA